Molecule: ribosomal RNA, 371 nt
Filed under: uncultured organism
Description: partial 16S ribosomal RNA
Rfam family: Bacterial small subunit ribosomal RNA
Source: RNAcentral
GUAGGUGGCAAGCGUUGUCCGGAAUUAUUGGGCGUAAAGCGCGCGCAGGCGGUUCUUUAAGUCUGAUGUGAAAGCCCACGGCUCAACCGUGGGGGGUCAUUGGAAACUGGAGAACUUGAGUACAGAAGAGGAAAGCGGAAUUCCACGUGUAGCGGUGAAAUGCGUAGAGAUGUGGAGGAACACCAGUGGCGAAGGCGGCUUUCUGGUCUGUAACUGACGCUGAGGCGCGAAAGCGUGGGGAGCAAACAGAUUAGAUACCCUGGUAGUCCACGCCGUAAACGAUGAGUGCUAAGUGUUAGGGGGUUUCCGCCCCCCUUAGUGCUGCAGCUAACGCAUUAAGCACUCCGCCUGGGAGUACGGCCGCAAGGCUG